This 238-nucleotide ribosomal RNA is filed under the name uncultured bacterium. RNAcentral describes it as "partial 16S ribosomal RNA". It matches the Rfam family "Bacterial small subunit ribosomal RNA", at positions 96 to 334 of the family's 1533-position model. The record is from RNAcentral.
UGGCGGACGGGUGAGUAACGCGUGGGUAACCUGCCUCAUACAGGGGGAUAACAGUUAGAAAUGACUGCUAAUACCGCAUAAGACCACGGUACCGCAUGGUACAGUGGUAAAAACUCCGGUGAUAUGAGAUGGACCCGCGUCUGAUUAGGUAGUUGGUGGGGUAACGGCCUACCAAGCCGACGAUCAGUAGCCGACCUGAGAGGGUGACCGGCCACAUUGGGACUGAGACACGGCCCAG